AGAAAUCUGAUUUUUUUCAAUUUCAGAUCAGUUUCAGCUUUUAGAUACAGAAAAAAUACACCCAGAAAAAUAGAAAAAAAAAAUCAGUGUUUCAUUAGAAUUGUAAGCUAAUUUGAUAUUCUAGUUAUCCAUUCCCAUUUCCUGAUUUUCUCUUUGGUUGCUAAAGUUUUCGAGAUAUUUAUAGUUGAUUUCGAGCAAUUUCUAGGUUUGUUUUGUAUGUUUUCGGUUGUUUGUUGUUGCUGCUGGGUUUUCAACUCUCUCCGGGUCUUGGUUUGAGUGUAUUUUUUUGUUUAAGCUCGAGUUUGCUGUUGAUUUGGUUCUCACUGCCUGUUGUUACACUCACUGUUGCUGUGCUAACUCUUCCUUGUUCUGUUGAACUAAAAUUCCCAGGUACACUAUUUGAACCUUACUGGUGUAUCCAUUGAAGUUUUAAUGAAGGAAAUUGUCGUUUGAUUGAGGAUCAUUGAUGUUUAGCUGAUGGUUGUAUUGUCAAAUAUAUCUGUUAGCUGUAUCAUGUUAUGGUUAACUAUAUGUUUUUGUACUUGUAUAGAACACCUAGACCUCACCAAUAUGUCUAUGGGAAUUGUUAUUGUGUAAGUUAGUGCCAAAUUUCACCUGUGUGGAAUUAAUU
This 631-nucleotide long non-coding RNA is filed under the name Nicotiana benthamiana. RNAcentral describes it as "long non-coding RNA (NBEN_LNC004411)". Lineage: Eukaryota; Viridiplantae; Streptophyta; Magnoliopsida; Solanales; Solanaceae. The record is from RNAcentral.